RNAcentral lists this small RNA (274 nucleotides) under Drosophila mojavensis. RNAcentral's name for it is "GI26294". Lineage: Eukaryota; Metazoa; Arthropoda; Insecta; Diptera; Drosophilidae. The record is from RNAcentral.
AUGAAAUACACCUUUUCAUAAUAUUUAAAUUGUGCUAUAUAAAGAAGAAUUAUUAUCAAAUAAUAGCAUUAUAUAAGAUAGUAUUAAGCAAGGAGCACUGUGGAAAGGAAAUUGUCAAACUCUGAAGCUCCAGCUCCAAAACAGAGAAAAAUAUACUGUUUUUCUUUCAUUUUUCACACCCUCGAUGGGCUAAGAUAUAACAACUAUUUUCUUUUGGAUCGCAUAAAACAACAACAGCUUCCUUGACCAUCAUAUAAAGACAUUUAACGAAGUG